This is a long non-coding RNA of Vollenhovia emeryi, 830 nucleotides long. RefSeq lists it as uncharacterized. The transcript is spliced from 3 exons. NCBI's taxonomy places the organism in Eukaryota, Metazoa, Arthropoda, Insecta, Hymenoptera, Formicidae. The record is from RefSeq and is a predicted model, not a curated record.
AUGACGACUUGAAUAAAUUGUCUUUUCCUCUAAAAAGUAUAGGGGAAAUUGAAUAUUUGCAACAAAUUCUCACAGAUAAAGAAGAAUUAAAAGAUCGUAUGUUUAACAUAUUGGCAAGUAUUGGUGGAAGUAGCUAUGAAGAAAUGUCGAAAAGAAUAUUUAUUUUUGUUUUUACAAAUGAAGUAGCUAGUUUGUACAGUUGGAUAGGAGGAAAAGGAAAACGGAAGCUUCAUCAUUUUGAAAUAAUGAAGUUAAUGUUUAGUAAGUUAAAAUAUUUUUUUACAAAUAAUGUAAAAGUAUAUGUUGUAACAUUUAUGAAAACUGUUUGUUGCAGAAGUUGUCAGGAAAACAUUCCCUAAUGUAACGGAGAAAGAAUUUGAAAUUAAAUGUAAGGAUUGGUUUCGACAUGCAAAACACAGGUUCGAAAAUGAGAAACGACGGCAAAAUCGACAAAGCAAUAACCACAUGCCAAUAGAACGUACGACUGAACAACCAACCAUUGAACAACCUGAGCACAAUUAAUCCGUGGCUCCUCCGUUGGCCUUCAAUACUUCCCUCAUACAUUGUUACCCCAAAGUUUUUCCAACGAAUUAUGUAUGUAUCAGUUUCUCCUUACUUUUAUAUUUACAGUACUAGUUAGUUUAAGGGCCACUUUAACCAACUCCCAUUAACUUUAAUCCAAGAUUAACUCAAUCAACAGUCGCCAACAUGAAGACUGUGUGUGUCGUUCUUAACUUAACCUUUUUGAUACAUGGUAUAAUUGUGAUUUCACGUAUUAAAUUAAAAUACCCUUCUUGAAGACAUACAACAGCUUUAACAUGGAUGCAAUU